CAGGGUUUGAUCCUGGCUCAGGAUGAACGCUGGCGGCGUGCCUAAUACAUGCAAGUCGAGCGAACGGACGAGAAGCUUGCUUCUCUGAUGUUAGCGGCGGACGGGUGAGUAACACGUGGAUAACCUACCUAUAAGACUGGGAUAACUUCGGGAAACCGGAGCUAAUACCGGAUAAUAUUUUGAACCGCAUGGUUCAAAAGUGAAAGACGGUCUUGCUGUCACUUAUAGAUGGAUCCGCGCUGCAUUAGCUAGUUGGUAAGGUAACGGCUUACCAAGGCAACGAUGCAUAGCCGACCUGAGAGGGUGAUCGGCCACACUGGAACUGAGACACGGUCCAGACUCCUACGGGAGGCAGCAGUAGGGAAUCUUCCGCAAUGGGCGAAAGCCUGACGGAGCAACGCCGCGUGAGUGAUGAAGGUCUUCGGAUCGUAAAACUCUGUUAUUAGGGAAGAACAUAUGUGUAAGUAACUGUGCACAUCUUGACGGUACCUAAUCAGAAAGCCACGGCUAACUACGUGCCAGCAGCCGCGGUAAUACGUAGGUGGCAAGCGUUAUCCGGAAUUAUUGGGCGUAAAGCGCGCGUAGGCGGUUUUUUAAGUCUGAUGUGAAAGCCCACGGCUCAACCGUGGAGGGUCAUUGGAAACUGGAAAACUUGAGUGCAGAAGAGGAAAGUGGAAUUCCAUGUGUAGCGGUGAAAUGCGCAGAGAUAUGGAGGAACACCAGUGGCGAAGGCGACUUUCUGGUCUGUAACUGACGCUGAUGUGCGAAAGCGUGGGGAUCAAACAGGAUUAGAUACCCUGGUAGUCCACGCCGUAAACGAUGAGUGCUAAGUGUUAGGGGGUUUCCGCCCCUUAGUGCUGCAGCUAACGCAUUAAGCACUCCGCCUGGGGAGUACGACCGCAAGGUUGAAACUCAAAGGAAUUGACGGC
This 929-nucleotide ribosomal RNA is filed under the name uncultured bacterium. Its description in RNAcentral is "bacterial SSU rRNA". It matches the Rfam family "Bacterial small subunit ribosomal RNA", at positions 8 to 917 of the family's 1533-position model. The record is from RNAcentral.